ACCCGCUGAAUUUAAGCAUAUAAUUAAGCGGAGGAAAAGAAACCAACUCGGAUUCCCCUAGUAACGGCGAGUGAAGCGGGAAGAGCUCAUGUUGUAAAUCUGGAUGAGGAUUCCUCGUCCCGAAUUGUAGUCUAGAGAUGCGUGCUCAGCUACUCUCCAGGGCUAAGUCUGUUUGUGAAAGACAGCAUCAUGGACGGUGAUAAUCCGGUUCUUGCCUUGGAUGUUGUAGCGUCUUGAGCCGUCCUCAACGAGUCGAGUUGCUUGGGAUUGCAGCUCUAAGCGGGUGGUAAAUUCCAUCUAAAGCUAAAUAUUGGUGGGAGACCGAUAGCGAACAAGUACCGUGAGGGAAAGAUGAAAAGAACUUUGAAAAGAGAGUUAAAUAGUACCUGAAACUGCUGAAAGGGAAGCGAAUGAAGUCAGUGUUGCUCUUUGUUCUCUGCAUCCUCCCUGCGGGGAUUGUGUAUCGAGGACUUUGAGCUUGUCAGGAUGAGUUCUCUGCCGCGGGAUAUGGUUUGUGAGCUGGAUGCUUCUGCUGAACUCACUCUCUCUGUCGUGGCUUGGACUGAGGUUCCAUCUUGCCGUUGCCUGCUUGUUACUCUCCUGUUGCUGUUUCUGUCCUACUGCUUGCAGUGUUCGGUUGCAGUGAUUGGACUGUGCAAGUUAUGCAUGCAAGGUCAGGAUCCUGACGAAAUGGCUUUAUUUACCCCGUCUUGAAACACGGACCAAGG
Molecule: ribosomal RNA, 728 nt
Filed under: Chattonella marina
Lineage: Eukaryota; Raphidophyceae; Chattonellales; Chattonellaceae
Also listed under: 2 other names
Description: eukaryotic LSU rRNA
Rfam family: Eukaryotic large subunit ribosomal RNA
Source: RNAcentral